GGUGAUGAACUCUGAAGCUACAUGAAGUUUGGAGGUGUGUAGUGAAGAACUCUGAAGCUACAUGAAGUUUGGAGGUGUGUAGUGAUGAACUCUGAAGCUACAUGAAGUUUGGAGGUGUGUAGUGAUGAACUCUGAAGCUACAUGAAGUUUGGAGGUGUGUAGUGAUGAACUCUGAAGCUACAUGAAGUUUGGAGGUGUGUAGUGAUGAACUCUGAAACUACAUGAAGUUUGGAGGUGUGUAGUGAUGAACUCUGAAGCUACAUGAAGUUUGGAGGUGUGUAGUGAUGAACUCUGAAGCUACAUGAAGUUUGGAGGUGUGUAGUGAUGAAC
Molecule: long non-coding RNA, 330 nt
Organism: Astyanax mexicanus (Mexican tetra)
Lineage: Eukaryota; Metazoa; Chordata; Actinopteri; Characiformes; Acestrorhamphidae
Exons: 3
Source: RefSeq, a predicted model, not a curated record